UACGGAAGGUCCGGGCGUUAUCCGGAUUUAUUGGGCGUAAAGCGAGUGCAGGCGGUUCAAUAAGUCUGAUGUGAAAGCCUUCGGCUCAACCGGAGAAUUGCAUCAGAAACUGUUGAACUUGAGUGCAGAAGAGGAGAGUGGAACUCCAUGUGUAGCGGUGGAAUGCGUAGAUAUAUGGAAGAACACCAGUGGCGAAGGCGGCUCUCUGGUCUGCAACUGACGCUGAGGCUCGAAAGCAUGGGUAGCGA
RNAcentral lists this ribosomal RNA (248 nucleotides) under uncultured Lachnospiraceae bacterium. RNAcentral describes it as "partial 16S ribosomal RNA". It matches the Rfam family "Bacterial small subunit ribosomal RNA", at positions 524 to 771 of the family's 1533-position model. Lineage: Bacteria; Bacillati; Bacillota; Clostridia; Lachnospirales; Lachnospiraceae. The record is from RNAcentral.